AUUGAACGCUGGCGGCAGGCCUAACACAUGCAAGUCGAGCGCGCGGCGGACGGGUGAGUAAUGUAUGGGGACUGACCGAUAGAGGGGGAUAACUAUUGGAAACGGUGGCUAAUACCCCAUACUGCCGGAUUACCCAAAUGGGAUUAGCUAGUAGGUAAGGUAAUGGCUUACCCAGGCGACGAUCCCUAGCUGGUCUGAGAGGAUGAUCAGCCACACUGGGACUGAGACACGGCCCAGACUCCUACGGAGGCAGCAGUGGGGAAUAUUGCACAAUGGGCGCAAGCCUGAUGCAGCCAUGCCGCGUGUAUGAAGAAGGCCCUCGGGUUGUAAAGUACUUUCAGUCGGGAGGCGUUACCGACAGAAGAAGCACCGGCUAACUCCGUGCCAGCCGCCGCGGUAAUAC
This 403-nucleotide ribosomal RNA is filed under the name uncultured bacterium. Its description in RNAcentral is "partial 16S ribosomal RNA". It matches the Rfam family "Bacterial small subunit ribosomal RNA", at positions 30 to 526 of the family's 1533-position model. The record is from RNAcentral.